RNAcentral lists this ribosomal RNA (253 nucleotides) under uncultured bacterium. RNAcentral's name for it is "partial 16S ribosomal RNA". It matches the Rfam family "Bacterial small subunit ribosomal RNA", at positions 524 to 776 of the family's 1533-position model. The record is from RNAcentral.
AACGUAGGAGACAAACGUUAUCCGGAGUUACUGGGCGUAAAGGGCGUGUAGGUGGUAUCGUAAGUCUGGCGUGAAAUUUCUCGGCUUAACCGAGGAACUGCCUGUCAAACUGCAUGGCUUGAGACCGGGAGAGGUGAGUGGAAUUCCCAGUGUAGCGGUGAAAUGCGUAGAUAUUGGGAGGAACACCAGUGGCGAAGGCGGCUCACUGGACCGGUACUGACGCUGAUGCGCGAAAGCGUGGGGAGCAAACAGG